UGGGGAAUAUUGCACAAUGGGCGCAAGCCUGAUGCAGCCAUGCCGCGUGUAUGAAGAAGGCCUUCGGGUUGUAAAGUACUUUCAGUCGGGAGGAAGGUGUCAAGGUUAAUAACCUUGGCAAUUGACGUUACCGACAGAAGAAGCACCGGCUAACUCCGUGCCAGCAGCCGCGGUAAUACGGAGGGUGCAAGCGUUAAUCGGAAUUACUGGGCGUAAAGCGCACGCAGGCGGUUUGUUAAGUCAGAUGUGAAAUCCCCGGGCUCAACCUGGGAACUGCAUCUGAUACUGGCAAGCUUGAGUCUCGUAGAGGGGGGUAGAAUUCCAGGUGUAGCGGUGAAAUGCGUAGAGAUCUGGAGGAAUACCGGUGGCGAAGGCGGCCCCCUGGACGAAGACUGACGCUCAGGUGCGAAAGCGUGGGGAGCAAACAGG
Molecule: ribosomal RNA, 429 nt
Filed under: Chloroflexota bacterium
Lineage: Bacteria; Bacillati; Chloroflexota
Description: Chloroflexi bacterium partial 16S ribosomal RNA
Rfam family: Bacterial small subunit ribosomal RNA
Source: RNAcentral